UACAGAGGUCCCAAGCGUUGUUCGGAUUCAUUGGGCGUAAAGGGUGCGUAGGCGGCGCGGUAAGUCGGGUGUGAAGUUUCGGAGCUUAACUCCGAAACUGCAUUCGAUACUGCGGUGCUUGAGGACUGGAGAGGAGACUGGAAUUUACGGUGUAGCAGUGAAAUGCGUAGAGAUCGUAAGGAAGACCAGUGGCGAAGGCGGGUCUCUGGACAGUUCCUGACACUGAGGCACGAAGGCCAGGGGAGCAAACGGG
Molecule: ribosomal RNA, 253 nt
Filed under: uncultured bacterium
Lineage: Bacteria
Description: partial 16S ribosomal RNA
Rfam family: Bacterial small subunit ribosomal RNA
Source: RNAcentral